CUCUUAUACUUUUAUUAGUAUAAAUUUUGAAUCCGACUACUAUGCUAUUAAUAGCACGAAACACUUGGUACUAUCAAAUUUUUCGCCGUUAGAUCUACCCUUUUGAUCAUUUUCACCCGUUAGAUCAUACUAUUUAACCAACCACCCACUCGAUUCUAGGGGACCCACAUCAUCCUAACCGCACAUCUCUUAAUCCAAUGGCUAAAAACUUAGUAGCACCAAUGACUUGGUGCUAUUAAUAGCAUAGUAGCCUAGUUCAUAAAUUUUUUAUACUUAUGAAUUUUUAGCCGUUAGAAACAAAAAUUAAUGUGUAGUUAGGAUAACAGUGAUCCGCUAAGAUUGAAUGAAUUGUUGGUUAAAUAGUAUGAUCUAAUAAAUGAAAAUAAUCAAAAGAAUAUAUUUAACGGUCGAAAUUUUAUGAGUACAAAAGGGUUUAUAUUUAUAACAGUAUGGUACGUAGCCGG
This 464-nucleotide long non-coding RNA is filed under the name Ananas comosus (pineapple). Its description in RNAcentral is "long non-coding RNA (ACOM_LNC029596)". Lineage: Eukaryota; Viridiplantae; Streptophyta; Magnoliopsida; Poales; Bromeliaceae. The record is from RNAcentral.